Molecule: long non-coding RNA, 658 nt
Organism: Neofelis nebulosa (Clouded leopard)
Lineage: Eukaryota; Metazoa; Chordata; Mammalia; Carnivora; Felidae
Exons: 2
Source: RefSeq, a predicted model, not a curated record
AGGGGAAGCAGGUGUGAGCCCGCAGCACAGUCGCCACCCCAGUCCCGGGCUGCGGGUUUGCUUCUUGACCCUGGGUGGUACCGACCGCACACGUGUGACCGCUACAUGGAGGAGAUACAAGGUACUCAUCACUGCUGAAAGAAAGAGGACAAUCCAGAUGGAACUGCCUAAAACAUCAUGCCACCCCCUGGAUGUGAAGCUGGCUUACUGAACCCCCACCAACCACCUCGCCCCCUCCUUCCUCCACUGUACUCUCUUCUCAGGCUUCUAUGCAGCCAGAAACCUGCAGGCAUGGUGUUCAGCUUGGGUUAGCAAGAGGCCAGCACAAGUCCUCGGGGAUGGUUUUCCUCCCAAAUGAAAAGACAAACUUUCAGGAAGAGAAGGUAUUUGGAUGUGAUGCCUGGAGCUGCAGUACCCAUCAUAUGACCAUGAGACUGAAACCACAUGAUAGUAAUGGUGGAUGGGGGUGCCUGCGUGGCUCAGUCAGUUAAGUAUCUGACUUUGAUCUCACAGUUUGUGACUUCGAGUCCCGCAUUGGGCUCUCUGCUGUUAGUGCAGAGCAGAGAAAGCCCACUUUGGAUCCUCUGUCUCCCUCUCUCUCUGCCUCUUCCCCCCACUUUCUCUCUCUCUCAAAAAUAAAUAAACAUUAAAAAAAUAA